RNAcentral lists this ribosomal RNA (495 nucleotides) under uncultured archaeon. RNAcentral describes it as "bacterial SSU rRNA". It matches the Rfam family "Archaeal small subunit ribosomal RNA", at positions 503 to 997 of the family's 1478-position model. The record is from RNAcentral.
AUUGGGUCUAAAGGGUCCGUAGCCGGUUUGGUCAGUCCUCCGGGAAAUCUGAUAGCUCAACUAUUAGGCUUUCGGGGGAUACUGCCAGACUUGGAACCGGGAGAGGUAAGAGGUACUACAGGGGUAGGAGUGAAAUCUUGUAAUCCCUGUGGGACCACCUGUGGCGAAGGCGUCUUACCAGAACGGGUUCGACGGUGAGGGACGAAAGCUGGGGGCACGAACCGGAUUAGAUACCCGGGUAGUCCCAGCCGUAAACGAUGCUCGCUAGGUGUCAGGCAUGGCGCGACCGUGUCUGGUGCCGCAGGGAAGCCGUGAAGCGAGCCACCUGGGAAGUACGGCCGCAAGGCUGAAACUUAAAGGAAUUGGCGGGGGAGCACAACAACGGGUGGAGCCUGCGGUUUAAUUGGACUCAACGCCGGACAACUCACCGGGGGCGACAGCAAUAUGUAGGCCAAGCUGAAGACUUUGCCUGAAUCGCUGAGAAGUGGUGCAUGG